This 467-nucleotide ribosomal RNA is filed under the name uncultured Anoxybacillus sp. RNAcentral describes it as "bacterial SSU rRNA". It matches the Rfam family "Bacterial small subunit ribosomal RNA", at positions 916 to 1381 of the family's 1533-position model. Lineage: Bacteria; Bacillati; Bacillota; Bacilli; Caryophanales; Anoxybacillaceae. The record is from RNAcentral.
ACGGGGCCCGCACAAGCGGUGAGCAUGUGGUUUAAUUCGAAGCAACGCGAAGAACCUUACCAGGUCUUGACAUCCCGAUGCUUAUUCUAGAGAUAGAAAGUUUACUUCGGUACAUCGGUGACAGGUGGUGCAUGGUUGUCGUCAGCUCGUGUCGUGAGAUGUUGGGUUAAGUCCCGCAACGAGCGCAACCCUCGACCUUAGUUGCCAGCAUUCAGUUGGGCACUCUAAGGUGACUGCCGGCUAAAAGUCGGAGGAAGGUGGGGAUGACGUCAAAUCAUCAUGCCCCUUAUGACCUGGGCUACACACGUGCUACAAUGGGCGGUACAAAGGGUCGCGAACCCGCGAGGGGGAGCCAAUCCCAAAAAGCCGCUCUCAGUUCGGAUCGUAGUCUGCAACUCGACUACGUGAAGUCGGAAUCGCUAGUAAUCGUGGAUCAGAAUGUCACGGUGAAUACGUUCCCGGGUCUU